GGUCUCUUCUUCUCCGUCGCAUACUUUCUUCUUAACCGGUGGCGUGAAAAGAUCCGAACCUCUACACCUCUCCAUGUCCUCACAAUCUCCGAGAUUCUUGCUCUAGUUUCCCUCAUUGCUUGCCUUAUCUACCUUACGGCUUUCUUUGGCGUUGCCUUCAUCCUUCAUUACGAUGAAGAAGAAGAUGAAGUUGCUGACAUUGCUGCGAAAACCACCAAAGUCAUGCCAAAUCUACCGGAGGAAAUCCUUGUCCAAAAAGUUUUGUCCAUGGAAGAUGAGGAGGUUGUUGGUGCAGUGGUGUCUGGAUCAAUUCCAUCUUACUCGCUUGAAUCGAAGCUUGGAGAUUGCCGACGUGCUGCUGUGAUUAGGAACCAAGCUGUGGAGAGAGUUACUGGAAGGUCACUUGAAGGUUUACCAAUGGAAGGUUUUGAUUAUGAUUCUAUAUUAGGACAAUGUUGCGAGAUGCCAAUAGGGUUUGUUCAGAUUCCGGUGGGUGUUGCCGGUCCUUUGUUGCUCGAUGGUAAAGAAUACACCGUGCC
Molecule: long non-coding RNA, 539 nt
Filed under: Medicago truncatula (barrel medic)
Lineage: Eukaryota; Viridiplantae; Streptophyta; Magnoliopsida; Fabales; Fabaceae
Description: long non-coding RNA (MTRU_LNC003653)
Source: RNAcentral